Solea senegalensis (Senegalese sole) is the source of this 212-nucleotide long non-coding RNA. RefSeq lists it as uncharacterized. The record is from RefSeq and is a predicted model, not a curated record. Lineage: Eukaryota; Metazoa; Chordata; Actinopteri; Pleuronectiformes; Soleidae. The transcript has 3 exons.
CCCUCUGACAUCAAUGGUGGAGAAAACCUCAAUAGUCUCAAUACAGUCAACAGAAAGAGGUACACCUGCACAAGAACGUGUGAAAACACCGACAAGGCAGUGGCAAAGAAAACUUCAAACAGAUGAGGCAUGCCAGUGAUGACACAUAACCACUGCAUGUGUUUUGCAUUCAUCCUGAUCGUGGAUUGACAGGCACACAGCCGGAAGAGACC